ACGCUCGACACCUACGGGGGCAGCAGUGGGGAAUAUUGCACAAUGGGGGAAACCCUGAUGCAGCGACGCCGCGUGAGUGAAGAAGUAUUUCGGUAUGUAAAGCUCUAUCAGCAGGGAAGAAGAUGACGGUACCUGAGUAAGAAGCCCCGGCUAACUACGUGCCAGCAGUCGCGGUAAUCUGAGCGGGCUGGCAAGGC
RNAcentral lists this ribosomal RNA (197 nucleotides) under uncultured bacterium. Its description in RNAcentral is "partial 16S ribosomal RNA". It matches the Rfam family "Bacterial small subunit ribosomal RNA", at positions 328 to 539 of the family's 1533-position model. The record is from RNAcentral.